CGGGUGAGUAAUGUCUGGGAAACUGCCUGAUGGAGGGGGAUAACUGCUGGAAACGGUAGCUAAUACCGCAUAACGUCGCAAGACCAAAGAGGGGGACCUUCGGGCCUCUUGCCAUCGGAUGUGCCCAGAUGGGAUUAGCUAGUAGGUGGGGUAACGGCUCACCUAGGCGACGAUCCCUAGCUGGUCUGAGAGGAUGGCCAGCCACACUGGAACUGAGACACGGUCCAG
RNAcentral lists this ribosomal RNA (228 nucleotides) under uncultured bacterium. Its description in RNAcentral is "partial 16S ribosomal RNA". It matches the Rfam family "Bacterial small subunit ribosomal RNA", at positions 103 to 334 of the family's 1533-position model. The record is from RNAcentral.